RNAcentral lists this non-coding RNA (26 nucleotides) under Mus musculus (house mouse). Lineage: Eukaryota; Metazoa; Chordata; Mammalia; Rodentia; Muridae. The record is from RNAcentral.
UAGUUGCACUACUUGGUCACAGUUUC